AUGAUUACGUCGACAUUUUUUCUCAGUUUGUUGCUGACGUUCUUACCCUGCGUCCAGUCAGAUGUUAUUUUGAUUCAACCAGAGGCAGAGACCGGCCGCCCCGGAAGCUCCCUGAGACUGACAUGUAAAGUCAGCGCGUUCGAUCUUUGCAGCUUCCUGAUGGAUUGGGCCCGACAGGCUCCCGGGCAAAGGCUGGAGUGGUUGGUUGUCUUCGAAACAGCAUUGAACAAUAACUAUGCGCCAGCGAUUAAGGGUCGCUUUACUGCGUCCAAAGACAUUUCAAACAAUAUCUUCACGUUGGACAUGAAGAGGCUGAAGGUCGAAGACUCCGCCACCUAUUACUGUGCAAGAGGCGCAGCCUGGGUACUUGGCUACUGGGGUCAAGGGACGGUAGUGACUGUGUCUGCAGCGACACCAUCUUCCCCCACACUUUAUGGCCUAGUCUCCUGUCAGCAACACAACACCUACGGUUCUGUCAUCUAUGGUUGUUUGGCGAUGGACUACUCCCCUGAUGUCAUCACAGUGACCUGGAAGAAAGGUGGGAAGCCGAUCAUGACUGGAUUCAAGACUUACCCAUCAGUGAGAAACAAGAAGGGAACAUACACCCUGGGCAGCCAGUUAACCCUCACUGAGUCAGAGGCAAAAUGCGGCCAAAUCAACUGUGAAGUUCGACACAGCGUGAGCGACAAGAGCACUGGAAUACCAUGUUAAACAAAUGCUGUCCAUCCAACUCUUCUCCUAACUGUGAGUUCUAGUGAAGAAAUCACAAGCAGCAAAUUUGCAACCAUCGUCUGUUCAAUCAUUGAUUUCCAUCCAAAGUCAAUCUCCGUGAGUUGGUUGAAGAAUGGGCGGCCCAUGGAUUCUGGCUUCUUCACGUCUCCCGCGUGUGAAGCGAAUGGAAACUUCUCAGCGACCAGUCGGCUGAGAGUCCCUCUUGGUGAAUGGCUCAACAGCGCAGUCUAUACCUGUCAGGUCACUCAUCAAGAGGUCACUCAAAGUCAAAACAUCACCGCACCCCAGGACGUUACCGAGUGCAGUGAUUUUGCAGUUAAAAUACUCCCGCUGCCAACAGACCAGGUCUUACUAGAGGCGACAGUGAUGUUAACUUGUGUUGUAUCCAAUCUUCCUUUCGGAGUCAUCAUCACCUGGGAACAAGAAAAGAAGACUCUGAAAUCAGAGAUUGCUGACCAGCCUGGAGAGCAUCGUGACAGCGUGAUCAGCAAAUUAGACAUUUCUACUCAAGCCUGGCUGAGUGGGGUUAAUUUCUACUGCGUGGUGAACCAUCAGAAUCUACCGACUCCUCUGAGAGACUCCAUCCGCAAGGAGAAAGCGACAAAUCCGCUGGCGCCGUCAGUGUCUGUCCUCCUGCCACCGGCGGAAGAAAUCUCCGAUCAGAGUUUUGUCUCCCUCACCUGUUUAGUGAGACAUUUCUCCCCCCGAGAGAUCUUCAUCAAGUGGACUACCAAAGACACGCUGGUGAAUCCCAGUCACUACAAAAACACCGAAGUGACGACGGAGAGUGACAACACCUCCUUCUUCAUAUACAGCCUGUUAUCCAUUGCAGCGGAGGAGUGGGCCAGCGGUGCUUCUUACUCCUGUGUGGUGGGACAUGAAGCGAUUCCAUUGAAGAUCAUCAACAGAACCGUUGAUAAAUCCAGUGAUUCGAUAGAUCGCACUUGGAUUGAAAACUAUGAGAACGAUUACAGCAACAUCAGGAAAACUGCUUCCACAUUCAUCACCCUGUUCUUCCUGAGUAUUUUCUACAGCGCUGCCGUCACUCUGGUGAAGGUCAAGUGAAUGAAUUUUGGACACCUUAGAUUUUCUUCAUCUGUUUAUAGAGGCCCUUGAAUUCAAAAUCUACAAUCUGUCAUUUUGCUGAUUCCAACAGUGAGGUAAC
This is a non-coding RNA of Rhincodon typus (whale shark), 1897 nucleotides long. The record is from the annotation of a RefSeq genome assembly. Lineage: Eukaryota; Metazoa; Chordata; Chondrichthyes; Orectolobiformes; Rhincodontidae.